CUUGCGGACAACACAGGAUGAAUGUUACAACAACAAGGACUGUACCUGGCUGCAAUGCAUUUCAAUGAAAAUGCACGUCUGCAGGCAACUACCUCAUCUGGAGAGCCCAUGUAGAUUAUUCUUUCCCAAGUUCAAGAAGGGAGAAGGCACAGCAAAGCCUAUCAGAACUCCUGAAACCCGAAACUGCGCUGUGGAUUCAUCUCCAGUUGUCCCAGACAAG
Molecule: long non-coding RNA, 220 nt
Organism: Austrofundulus limnaeus
Lineage: Eukaryota; Metazoa; Chordata; Actinopteri; Cyprinodontiformes; Rivulidae
Exons: 3
Source: RefSeq, a predicted model, not a curated record